This 460-nucleotide ribosomal RNA is filed under the name uncultured bacterium. Its description in RNAcentral is "partial 16S ribosomal RNA". It matches the Rfam family "Bacterial small subunit ribosomal RNA", at positions 338 to 795 of the family's 1533-position model. The record is from RNAcentral.
CCUACGGGUGGCAGCAGUGAGGAAUAUUGGUCAAUGGACGAGAGUCUGAACCAGCCAAGUAGCGUGAAUGAUGACUGCCCUAUGGGUUGUAAACUUCUUUUAUAUGGGAAUAAAAUGUUCCACGUGUGGGAUUUUGUAUGUCCCAUAUGAAUAAGGAUCGGCUAACUCCGUGCCAGCAGCCGCGGUAAUACGGAGGAUCCGAGCGUUAUCCGGAUUUAUUGGGUUUAAAGGGAGCGUAGAUGGAUUGUUAAGUCAGUUGUGAAAGUUUGCGGCUCAACCGUAAAAUUGCAGUUGAAACUGGCAGGCUUGAGGACAGGAGAGGUGGGCGGAAGUCGUGGUGUAGCGGUGAAAUGCUUAGAUAUCACGAAGAACUCCGAUUGCGAAGGCAGCUCACUGGACUGCAACUGACACUGAGGCUCGAAAGUGUGGGUAUCAAACAGGAUUAGAUACCCGGGUAGUC